GACGAACGCUGGCGGCGUGCUUAACACAUGCAAGUCGAACGGAAAGGCCCUGCUUUUGUGGGGUGCUCGAGUGGCGAACGGGUGAGUAACACGUGAGUAACCUGCCCUUGACUUUGGGAUAACUUCAGGAAACUGGGGCUAAUACCGGAUAGGAGCUCCUGCUGCAUGGUGGGGGUUGGAAAGUUUCGGCGGUUGGGGAUGGACUCGCGGCUUAUCAGCUUGUUGGUGGGGUAGUGGCUUACCAAGGCUUUGACGGGUAGCCGGCCUGAGAGGUUGAACGGCCACAUUGGGACUGAGAUACGGCCCAGACUCCUACGGGAGGCAGCAGUCGGGAAUAUUGCACAAUGGGCGGAAGCCUGAUGCAGCAACGCCGCGUGCGGGAUGACGUCCUUCGGGUUGUAAACCGCUUUCGCCUGUGACGAAGCGUGAGUGACGGUAAUGGGUAAAGAAGCACCGGCUAACUACGUG
RNAcentral lists this ribosomal RNA (468 nucleotides) under uncultured bacterium. RNAcentral's name for it is "partial 16S ribosomal RNA". It matches the Rfam family "Bacterial small subunit ribosomal RNA", at positions 28 to 507 of the family's 1533-position model. The record is from RNAcentral.